Long non-coding RNA from Ziziphus jujuba (common jujube), 541 nucleotides. RefSeq lists it as uncharacterized. The transcript has 4 exons. The record is from RefSeq and is a predicted model, not a curated record. Lineage: Eukaryota; Viridiplantae; Streptophyta; Magnoliopsida; Rosales; Rhamnaceae.
CCAGCCCUGCUGCUAGUGUGGCGGGGGUGGCGGGUGUGGGUGUUAUGCUGCAGAAACAUACAUCAAUCGAAGUUGAAGGUCGAAGGUCCAAUAAAAAGCACUGCGUUUGAAAUGGCUGAAGAAUCUACGACUACGCGUCCUAUCAGGCUUAUGAAUUUUGUUUCCAGGACCAGCAAAAUCGAAAAUGGUUUGGAGCAGUUGGAUGAAGCAAAGAGAACAAGGAGUGAGCGUGUGGAAGAUGGCACUGCUUAGAGGGACAGACCCCUUUACGAGAUCUUAAAGGAAAAUAAAGACAAGCGGGAUGCUGAGUCAAGCGGGAUGCUGAGUUUAACGAACGCUUCAAGCACAGACCCCCCCAAAUCUCUCGACGAAGAUGAGACUGAGUUUCUUGACAAGUUAGAGCUGGUAAGUCUCAUGUAAUUGUAUUCAUUGAUAAAACCAACACCAUUACUGCAAGGAUCAGGGCCCUUGAUUAGUAAGUUUGAAUUGAUUAUGAACUUUGAUCAAAGUUUUUAAGUAUAAUUAAUUCCCUAAAGUCAAA